This 121-nucleotide non-coding RNA is filed under the name Desulforudis. RNAcentral describes it as "Candidatus Desulforudis MoCo sequence". It matches the Rfam family "Molybdenum/Tungsten riboswitch aptamer (Moco RNA motif)". The record is from RNAcentral. Lineage: Bacteria; Bacillati; Bacillota; Clostridia; Thermoanaerobacterales; Desulforudaceae. RNAcentral also lists the same sequence under 1 other name.
ACUUCAAAGAUUCUCCGAGUUUAUGGGCCUAACACUUUCAAGGUCAUGGCCGUAAACCGACAGGGUGUGCCGGGAAACGGGUACGCCUCCCAUUGCGGAAAGGGGAACACAGCUGGGUGCG